RNAcentral lists this long non-coding RNA (9060 nucleotides) under Hordeum vulgare. Its description in RNAcentral is "long non-coding RNA (HVUL_LNC011071)". The record is from RNAcentral. Lineage: Eukaryota; Viridiplantae; Streptophyta; Magnoliopsida; Poales; Poaceae.
GCCGGCAACGUUAAAGGUAUAUGUGAUAUACAUGUUAUUGAUGUGUACCUUACCAGCGCUCGUAGUAGCUCCUGGGUAUUUCAUACCGGCGUUGUUGCUCACAUUUGCAACUCAAAGCAGGAACUACGGAAUAAGCGGAGAGUGGCAAAGGACAAGGUGACGAUGCGCGUCGGGAAUGGCUCCAAGGUCGAUGCGAUCGCCGUCGGCACGCUACCUCUACAUCUACCGCCGGGAUUAGUUUUAAACCUUAAUAAUUGUUAUUUAGUACCAGCUUUAAGCAUGAACAUUGUAUCAGGGUCUUGCUUAAUGCGAGACGGCUACUCAUUUAAGUCAAAGAAUAAUGGUUGUUCUAUUUAUAUGAGUGAUAUGUUUUAUGGUCAUGCUCCGUUGGUGAAUGGUUUAUUCUUGAUGAAUCUCGAUCGUGAUGUUACACAUAUUCAUAGUGUGAGUACCAAAAGAUGUAAAGUUGACAAUGAUAGUCCCACAUACUUGUGGCACUGCCGCCUUGGUCAUAUCGGCGUUAAGCGCAUGAAGAAGCUCCAUACUGAUGGACUAUUAGAGUCUCUUGAUUUUGAAUCAUUUGACACAUGCGAACCGUGCCUCAUGGGCAAGAUGAGUAAGACUCCAUUCUCAGGAAUAAUGGAGAGAGCAACCAACUUAUUGGAAAUAAUACAUACUGAUGUGUGUGGUCCAAUGAACGUUGAAGCUCGCGGUGGCUAUCGUUAUGUUCUCACUCUCACCAAUGAUUUGAGUAGGUAUGGGUAUAUCUACUUGAUGAAGCACAAAUCUGACAUUUGAAAAGUUUAAGGAAUUUCAGAGUGAGGUCGAGAAUCAACGUGACAGAAAAAUUAAGUGUCUAUGAUCUGAUCGUGGAGGAGAAUAUUUGAGUCACGAGUUUGGCACACACCUAAGGAAGUGUGGAAUCGUUUCACAACUGACGCCGCCUCGCACACCGCAACGCAAUGGAGUGUCUGAACGUUGUAAUCGCACUUUAUUAGAUAUGGUACGAUCUAUGAUGUCUCUUACCGACUUACCGCUAUCAUUUUGGGGAUACGCAUUAGAAACUACAACAUUCACUUUAAAUAGGGCAGCGUCGAAAUCCGUUGAGACAACACCGUAUGAACUAUGGUUUGGCAAGAAACCUAAGUUGUCGUUUCUUAAAGUUUGGGGCUGCAAUGCUUAUGUGAAUAAACUUCAACCAGAAAAGCUCGAACCCAAAGCGGAGAAAUGCGUAUUCAUAGGAUACCCUAAGGAAACUAUUGGGUAUACCUUCUAUCUUAGAUCCGAAGGUAAAACCUUUGUUGCCAAGAACGGAUUCUUUCUAGAGAAAGAGUUCCUCUCGAAAUAAGUAAGUGGGCGGAAGGUAGAACUUGAUGAGGUAAUUACACCCCCUCUCGAACAGGAUAGUAGCGCAACGCGGGAAGUUGUUCCUGUGGCGCCUAUACCAACUGAAGAGGAAGUUAAUGAUAAUGAUCAUGAAGCUUCGGAUCAAGUUACUACUGAACCGCAAAGGUCCACGAGGGCACGCUCCGCACCAGAGUGGUACGACAACCCUGUGAUGGAAAUCAUGUUGUUAGACAACGGUGAACCUUCAAACUAUGAAGAAGCGAUGGCGGGCCCGGAUUCCAGCAAAUGGCUUGAAGCGAUGAAAUCCAAGAUAGGAUCCAUGUAUGAGAACAAAGUAUGGACUUUGGUGGACUUGCCCGAUGAUCGGCGAGCCAUAGAAAAUAAAUGGAUCUUCAAGAAAAAGACUGAUGCAAACGGUAAUGUAACCGUUCAUAAAGCUCGACUUGUCGCAAAGGGUUUUUGACAAAUUCAAGGAGUUGACUACGAAGAGACUUUCUCUCCCGUAGCGAAGCUGAAAUCAGUCCAAAUCAUGUUAGCAAUUGCCUCCUUUUAUGAUUAUGAAAUUUGACAAAUGGACGUCAAAACAGCGUUCCUUAACGGGAACCUUAAGGAAGAGUUGUAUAUGAUGCAACCAGAAGGUUUUGUCAACCCUAAGGGUGCUAACAAAGUGUGCAAGCUCCAGCGCUCCAUCUAUGGGAUGGUGCAAGCAUCUCGGAGUUGGAACAUUCGCUUUAAUAAGGUGAUUAAAGCGUUUGGGUUCAUACAGGUUUACGGAGAAGCCUGUGUGUACAAGAAAGUGAGUGGAAGCUCUGUAGCUUUCCUCAUACUGUAUGUGGAUGACAUAUUAUUGAUGGGGAACAAUAUAGAGAUGUUGGAAAGCAUAAAGGCCUAUUUGAACAAGAGUUUUUCAAUGAAGGACCUUGGAGAAGCUGCAUACAUAUUAGGCAUCAAGAUAUAUAGAGAUAGAUCGAGACGCCUCAUAGGUCUUNNNNNNNNNNNNNNNNNNNNNNNNNNNNNNNNNNNNNNNNNNNNNNNNNNNNNNNNNNNNNNNNNNNNNNNNNNNNNNNNNNNNNNNNNNNNNNNNNNNNNNNNNNNNNNNNNNNNNNNNNNNNNNNNNNNNNNNNNNNNNNNNNNNNNNNNNNNNNNNNNNNNNNNNNNNNNNNNNNNNNNNNNNNNNNNNNNNNNNNNNNNNNNNNNNNNNNNNNNNNNNNNNNNNNNNNNNNNNNNNNNNNNNNNNNNNNNNNNNNNNNNNNNNNNNNNNNNNNNNNNNNNNNNNNNNNNNNNNNNNNNNNNNNNNNNNNNNNNGUUCUUGCCAGUUUUGCAUGGUAUGAGAUUGAGUAAGACUCAGUCGCCGACCACGACAGCAGAUAGAGAGAAGAUGAGUUAUGUCCCCUACGCUUCAGUCGUAGGCUCUCUUAUGUAUGCCAUGUUGUGUACCAGACCUGAUAUAAACCUUGCCAUAAGUUUUGUAGGGAGGUACCAAAGUGAUCCCGGUAUGGAACACUGGACAGUGGUCAAGAAUAUCCUUAAGUACAUGAAAAGGACUAAGGAAAUGUUUCUCGUUUAUGAAGGUGAUGAAGAGCUAUUCGUAAAGGGUUACGUCAACGCUAGCUUCCACACAAAUCCGGAUGACUCUAAGUCACUGACCGGAUACAUAUAUGUUUUGAAUGGUGGGGCAGUGAGCUGGUGCAGCAGCAAGCAAGAAGUCGCGACAACAUCUACAUGUGAAGCGGAGUACAUAGCUGCUUCAGAAGCGUCUCAUGAAGGGAUUUGGAUGAAGGAGCUCAUCACCGACCUUGGAGUGGUUCCAAGCACGUCGGGUCCAAUGACACUCUUCUGUGAUAAUACUGGGGCCAUUGUCAUAGCCAAGAAGCCCAGGUUUCACCGGAAGACGAAGCACAUCAAACGCCACUACAACUCCAUCUAGGACCAUGUCUAGAGUGGAGUAAUAGAUAUUUGUAAAGUACACACGGAUCUGAAUAUUGCAGACCCGUUGACUAAACCUCUUCCACGAGCAAAACAUGAUCAACACCAUAAUGCUAUGGGUGUUCGAUACAUCACAAUGUAACUAGAUUAUUGACUCUAGUGCAAGUGGGAGACUGUUGGAUGCCCUAGAGGCAAUAAUAAAAUGGUUAUUAUCAUAUUUCCUUGUACAUGAUAAUCGUCUAUUGUUCAUGCUAUAAUUGUAUUAACAGGAAACAGUAAUACAUGUGUGAAUAAAUAGAUCACAAUGUGUCCCUAGCAAGCCUCUAGUUGGCAAGCUCGUCAGUCAAUAGAUGAUCAUGGUUUCCUGAUCAUGGGCAUUAGAUGCCAUUGAUAACGGGAUCACAUCAUUGGGAGAAUGAUGUGAUGGACAAGACCCAAUCCUAAGCAUAGCACUAGAUCGUAUUGUUCGUAUGCUAAAGCUUUUCUAAUUUCAAGUGUCUUUUCCUUCGACCGUGAGAUUGUGCAACUCCCGGAUACCGUAGGAGUGCUUUGGGUGUAUCAAACGUCACAACGUAACAGGGUGACUAUAAAUGUGCACUACGGGUAUCUCCGAAAGUGUUUGUUGGGUUGGUACGAAUCGAGAUCGGGAUUUGUCACUCCGUGUGACGGAGAGGUAUCUCUGGGCCCACUCGGUAGAACAUCAUCAUGAGCUCAAUGUGACUAAGGAGUUAGUCACACGAUGACGUGCUACAGAACGAGUUAAGAGACUUACCGGUAACGAGAUUGAACAAGGUAUAGGUAUACCGACGAUCGAAUCUCGGGCAAGUUCUAUACCUACAGACAAAGGGAAUUAUAUACGGGAUUGAUUGAAUCCUUGACAUCGUGGUUCAUCCGAUGAGAUCAUCGUGGAGCAAGUGGGAGCCACCAUGGGUAUCCAGACCCCGCUGAUGGUCAUUGGCCAAAGAGGUGUCUCGGUCAUGUCUACCUGUCUCCCGAACCCGUAGGGUCUACACACUUAAGGUUCGAUGACGCUAGGGUUAUAGGAAAUUGUUAUACGAGGUUAUCGAAAGUUGUUCGGAGUGCCGGAUGAGAUCCCGGACAUCACGAGGAGCUCCGAAAUGGUCCGAAGGUAAAGAUUGAUAUAUAGGACGGAUGGUUUCGGACACCGGAAGUGUUUCGGGCGUCAUCAGUAACGUACCGGGACCACCGGGACCACCAGAGGUGGCCCGGGGGUCCACCAAAAGAGGACAACGACCCCGGGAGGAUAGAUGGGCCAAGUGGGGAAGGGAACUAGCCCCUAGGUGGGCUGGUGCGCCCCCACUCAGCCCAUGGCGCAGGAAGAGGGGAGAGGGGGGGAACCCUAGCGCAGGUGGGCCUAAGGCCCACCAGAGGGGUGCGCCACCCCUCCUCCCUGCCCUGGCCGCCGCACCUCCCAUCUGGGGGGCUGCUGCACCACCUAGGGUGGGAACCCUAGGGGUGGCACCCCCCUCCCCUCCUCCUAUAUAUAGUGGGCACUUUUGGGCUUUUGAAGAUAGACUUUUCCCUCUCCCUCGGCGCAGCCCUGCCCUUCUUUCUCCUCCUCUCUGCCGGUGCUUGGUGAAGCCCUGCCGGAAGACACCGUCUCUCCAUCGACACCACGCCGUCGUGCUGCUGGAGUUCUUCCCCAACCUCUCCCUCCUCCUUGCUGGAUCAAGGUGCGGAAGACGUCACCGGGCUGCACGUGUGUUGAACACGGAGGUGCCGUAGUUCGGCACUAGAUCGAAAUCACACCGCGAUUCGAAUCGUCGCGAGUACGACUCCAUCAACCGCGUUCUAGUAACAUUUCUGCUUAGCGAUCUUCAAAGAUAUGAAGAUGCACUCACCCCUCUCUCGUUGCUGGUCUCUCCAUAGGAAGAUCUGAAUAUGCGUAGGAAUUUUUUUGAAUUUAUGCUACGUUACCCAACAGGUAUCCUCUUCCUAUUUGGGUUCCGCAUGAAAACCUCUUGUCCAUUUUGGGCUCGGCAGCGGUGACACUUUAUGCCGUCUUCGCUUCCGAGGUCAUUUUCAUGGAGUUUAGGUGUAACUAAAUUAGUAUCAUUAGACCUAUCAUGGACUGUAGUUCCCUAUUUUUAUUUUUUUACAAACUUGAUCAAACAUAGAAGUAGAAGUGCUUGACUUUAAAAAUAAUAACCCACCUUAAAGUAUUUAAAAACGAAGAGUUACUAUAACUGAACAGUCAAGCUUAUAACAAUGGUGACCUGGUCGGAUUGGACCAGAAAGUCUCUUCCAUCAGGGUUUACUAUAUGAAAUAAGUGGAGUUUGGAAAAUAAACGCAGAUCAACGUGUCGGAGUUCACCGACAUGGCGUCAUGGGAGCGUGCUCAGCAAGAUCCCGAUAGUCACGAGGUUAUGCGUUCUCCGAUCCAUCAGGACUGACUAAAGGCGCAGGCGUGGACGCCUCCUACUGCGGAGGCGUCGACCCAAACUUUGUGGUUGAUGUCGAGCUAGGAGUGAAAGGAGAUGCCUUUUACCCCUCCUACCGUGACGGGGCACCGUGAUGUAGACGGUUAGGGGUGCCUCUCGGACAUGGAUGUCGGGGCAGUGGUCCCGUGUGGCGGUCCGCUUGGUGGGCUCUCCAGCGGGUACCAUGGCGGCAUGGAUGGCUUUCCCUCUUGGUCAUGUAAGCGGGGAAAGGUAGAGCGGUGGGUGGCUUGGGCAUGCUCUUUGAUUUAGACAGUGAUGACACCCCUAUCCGGCUGUGGAGAUAUGUUCUCGUCGCACUUGUCCUGGAGACCUCGAGGUGGCUCGGUGAAGCGGCCGAGCGAAAGCUCUGCACUUUUUCGUUGCGGGCGCUCCUUUCUUCUUGAAAACGUCGUCCUGGUGCUGCUCUCAAUGUCUAGCUUCCGGGUAAAAACCUUUGUCCAUUUUGGACUCGGCAGCGGUGACGCUUUAUGCCGUUUUUCCUCUUAAGAGCAUUGUCAUGUUUUUCCUCUUAAGAGCAUUGUCAUGGAGCUUAGAUGUACUAGGGCAUUGCGUGACGUUAUACUCGAUCACACUAUGUUAUCUUUCUGUUGUGUAGUCGCUUGAGGAUUCCAUCGUGUACUCUGUUUGCUUGUUGCCUUACAUAUAAAGCGUUACGAAAGGUUUUUUUUAAGAAAAAAAGAAAAAGAAACACAAUAAUAUGGCAUGGGUCUCAUAUAUAUAGACACACAGAUAAACAGUUGCCCCUUUUCCUGAACAAUUCCUGAAGGCUAGUUCUACUACUCCUCUCUCUAUCCCAAAAUAAAUACCGUUGACUUAGCACGUACUCCCUCCGUCCCAAAAUAAGUGUCUCAACUUUAUACUAGCUCUAGUACAAAUUUGUAUUAAGCUUGAGACAGUUAUUUUGGGACGGAGGGAGUACAACUUUACACUAAAGCUAUAGUAACUCAGUAACUAAUUUUUGGACGGGGGAGUAGUAUCUAGCUAGGCCUGGCAAAUUGAUAAGUGAACAUAGGCCGGGAAACGCUAUGACGAUCGAGUAUAUCAGAAAAUAUAGGUAUGAAUCUCUUCCUAAUUCCUAAUAAUAAAGCGAAUAUUGUUUCUGGUCGUCCGUCCUUUCAACUGAUUCAUAUCAAUUUAUAUACAUUUAAAGAUUAUUUGUAAUAUCAAUCAGCCUUCUCAAAAAAAUAAAAAAUAAAUAAGAGCAACUAGGGAUCUCGGGCGAGGGAAAGAGGAGGGAUCGAGCAGCAGCGCACCAGCGCUCUGGAUCUGGUCUGGAACGGGGCAGCGGAGGGGCUGUCAUGCAGUAGAGGACACGACCGGCGGCGGCGCUCCGGCAGCCUGGGAGCAGAGAAGGCCAGACGAGGCGAGGCGUCGCCAUGGCGCGGUAUGACAGCGACCCGCCGGAGGUGGAGUGGGAGAGGCAGCGACUUGCUGGCGCCGGAGGAGGCGAGGCGUCGCCAUGGCGCGGUAUGACGGCGACCCGCCGGAGGUGGAGCGAGAGAGGUGGCGGCGCUCCGGCAGCCUGGGAGCAGAGAAGGCCGGAGGAGGCGAGGCGUCGCCAUGACGCGGUAUGACGGCGACCCGCCGGAGGUGGAGCGAGAGAGAUCAGGCGGCGCGGGGGAUGCGGGUCUGCAGACGGUGCAUGGAGGGGGGAUCCCGCCAGUGUGCGCAGCUUUGGGUGAUGAGUGGGCAGGGCCGUGGGGAUCCCUUCGAUGGCAGGCAACAAGAUAAGGCUGCGAGGAAUUACAAGUCCGCUGGAGAAGCACAACGAGGCGUCUGGCUUCUUCUAGACCAGUUGACGUGUUACUAGCGCAUGUUGUCUUUUUUCUUUUUGUGUCCACGAACCGAUAAAAAGCUCUGAAUUCAUCAGGAGGAUGUGUUAGGGUGCACACAAUCUUUUUUAGCUAGACAUUUAUUUUCCGUUCACUAACCAUUGAUAAUCUGAUUCAUAAUGUCAUAACAUUUUUUCUUUGCUUCCUAAAUUGUAUUCAUAAAAAACAUAACACUAGCCACACAUGCACCGUCAUUAAUUAACUCACUCAUGCUUAUUUGAAACUAUGUUUAGGGAUACCUGAGUACAUUUUUUUAUUUAAACAAAAAAUAUUGUAAAUAAAAUUAAAAAGUAAAGUACUUAAAACUAGCUUUCUACUUUCUUAAACAAAGGAUUACACAAAUUGUUAUCUAUACGACAAUGACUUUACAGUUAACACACACAAAAGAAAAAUGCAUGCCUGAACGUCGGACGAAGUAUACGAUAUUUUUAAAAGGUGCAAUUUAAAUCUUCACAGGCCGGUAAAAAUCUCCAUCCCGUGGACAUGUUAGUUGAUCUUCAUGGACGGGUAAAACCUCCAAAACUAUGCACAGUUGCCGGAUUGAUGCUACAUAUUCUUUUGAAUGUCGAAUUUGACUUUAUUUACGUCCCUCACAAACUCGUACUCAUUGGCUAGUAGGACACGAAAACAAAAAAGGAACAAACAUCAUGAUAUUUCUAGCCCGUUGCAACGCACGGGCAUUUGUACCAGUCCAAAAUCAACAGAAGAAUAGAGCAUAUGCAUCCAUUGAUGUCGACCAGUAUUAUGCCGUUUUUAUUUUUUAAGCUUGAACUUGAUUGGGUGUGUGCAUGUGAGUUAAAACUUUUAAGUAGUAAAGCGCCUUUUAUCAGAAAAAAUCGACGCCGAUCGACCGUUGUGCAUCAACGAAGAAGAACCAGUAUCUCAAACACAAUCUUUGUGCUAAUAUCAAAUUUAUAUUUUACCGACUGAUGACAAUAGUAUACGGCCGGAGUUAACAAAAGAUCAUAUUACCAGAUACAAAACUCAACACAUAAACUGCACAUAGAUCACAGAAUCGAAGGAUUCAAACAGGAUCACACAUACACCCAUACUAGCUACCACUAGGUAGCUUCAUAUCGAUUUGGUAUAGCUAGCUAGUAGUUACACGAGACAAAGGAUUUAGGAUACAAUACACAUCGUGCUGUGAUCUUCACCGGUAGUCUUACAGGGGGGAGAUCAUCAUGGCCCCCGGUCGAGAAGUUACAAUUGCCAAAGGAUAGAAGUUGCCCUACCUUAGUAGAGGUGAGAAGUCGCCGCCGCCGCUGCCGCCACCGCCGUGGACGAGGCCGCCCUGCCGGCCAGCCAACCAUGGCCGUUUCGCCCAGAGCUUCCUCAAGAACCCAAGUAGCCUAGCUAGCUGCAGCUUGAUGCAAACCAGAGAUAGCUAGCCAACGCCGGAUCCAUCGGUUGCUACGUACGCGCCCAGGGACCAUGGCCGAGGGCACACUCCGAGUGAGGAUGGGAGCAGGCAUGCAUGCAGCUGGUACUGGUCG